RNAcentral lists this ribosomal RNA (305 nucleotides) under uncultured bacterium. Its description in RNAcentral is "bacterial SSU rRNA". It matches the Rfam family "Bacterial small subunit ribosomal RNA", at positions 334 to 637 of the family's 1533-position model. The record is from RNAcentral.
CACCCUACGGGAGGCAGCAGUGAGGAAUAUUGGUCAAUGGCCGGAAGGCUGAACCAGCCAAGCCGCGUGAAGGACGAAGGUGCCAAGCAUUGUAAACUUCUUUUGUUAAGGGACAAAAUCAGGCUCGAGAGCCUGACCGAGGGUACUUGAAGAAAAAGCAUCGGCUAACUCCGUGCCAGCAGCCGCGGUAAUACGGAGGAUGCGAGCGUUAUCCGGAUUUACUGGGUGUAAAGGGAGCGAAGGCGGCUUGGCAAGUCUGAUGUGAAAGGCUGGGGCUCAACCCCAGGACUGCAUUGGAAACUGUU